GUGAGGAGGGACUUCUGCAAAUGCACAGAGCUGCUGUGACUCUCACCCAGUGUUUAUUUCCAGGUUUUUCUACUGAGAAGAGCACUGCAAACUGGAGAACCAUAGACUGAGUGCCGUGAAGAAGUCACAAGUUUCUGCUUUAACGGGGUUUCUGACUCUGACCUCUAUUUCUGACUCUGGAUAUCUGAUGCUUGGCCUUCUGGGAAAUCUAAAGCCUAACUAAGAGAAAUGGACUUUAAUCUGCUCUGGUCCAGCCAUCCUGAGGACUCAGUUUGUUCGAGGAUAUUAACAAGUGGAAUUCCUCUCUUACCAUGGAAGAGUCCAUCUCUAAUACGAUGGUGCUAACCCAGGUUCUUUCCACUCCCCAGAUGGUGUCUGUGGGCUUGGCUCUCACCUUCAAGCUUCACCGCCCCCGGAUGAUGGACGGAAUUUGCUCUGGGCAUCUGAGCCCAAGCGGAGGUGCAGGUGCCAAACUCACUGUGCACUUUCCAUCUACUCUUUGCUACAGUUCAAUAAAGCAACCCCCCAACACCUGCCCAGUGAGCUGCCUACGUUGAGAUUAUGAUUCAUCCCAGAGACAAGGGACAACACGGGAAGCUGCUCUCAGAAGACAAGAUCCCUGUGCACGCAGCUGACACGGCCUCCUGGCUGACUCUGGUGUCAUGAUGGAGUCCUCAGAAUGAGAGGGCAGCUGGGGAAAGGACACCGAGUGGAAGUGCAGCCACACCCAAACUCAGCAGUAAGUCUAUCCCCACUGUGGAUUUGACCUCCAUCCCUCUUCUUUAGUGGCACUUUUGCAGCCUUUCGUGGUUUGGAAUUUUACACUGCAGUCGGCAGCCUCUUAUAUGAUCCCACUGAAGUCAGUCAUUGGUUGGCUAAUCAGAAAGGAUUUCCUCUGGCCACCAGAGACCGGAGCUACAGGCAUGGAGACACUAAAUAGCCACUUCAUAAAGUGAUGCUGAAUACAAACGAGUGUUGCAGAAGUUCUCUGCAUGUUUGAAAUAUUUUAAAUACAACUAUGAAGAACCCAGAGCUACUUCAAGUUUCUGAUCCCACUUGUACGUGGAGCACUGGUUUUCUGGUGAGCUGCGAAUUAGCAUGAAGAAAAUAUAGGCUUGCACAAACAUUCCUGUGUUCAAACACAGAGGAGCAUGAUUAUAUUGAAUACCCAUUCAAACUGGCCAAAACUACAAAUCCUAUCGGCCAUGAGGUGGCCGCAUGGGGCAGGAGCAGAUGGAGCAGUAGUUCGGCAUGGCUUUCCUCAGUCCUCAGAACCCCUGGAGGCUUCUCAAGGCUGUCUGUGUCACUCUCUCUGCAAAGAACCAAGCUCUGGGUCUGCAAGGUUAUAUACUUCUUCAGAAGAGAGCACUGUGCCACUGUCCCAGGAGAACUGUACCAUCAAGUCUUUCAAGCCCUUUCACAGCCUUUUAAGCUGAAGAAUGGCAGUAUUUGAAAAAAUCAGCACUCAUGAUCUCCUUUGUCUUCAAGACCAUAUUCUACAAAACCGACUUCUUUUUGAAGACCUAGGAGGAUGCAGUGAUGUGGAUGACGCUGAGAGGCGGGAGGAAGACGGUGACCAUUGCCACCAUGCAUGAGCACCAUCUGGAUGGGACUGGGCUCCUCUGUAGACCACAGCCCUUCAGUCACCCCUCAUCACAGAUCCAGACCGGACAGAUGUCUAAUACAAACAGCCACCUGGAAGCAUAACUCUGCCCAAACCCAGCUGAGCUUUCGUUCUCUGGUAUUCUGAUAACCAGGGGCUCUUCUCCUGAUGUUGACUUCUGAAUUCCCUGACUUACGAUUAUUCUUAGGGGCUGUCAGCCAAGGCUCCAGUGACUUCCAAAAACCGGUAUCAUUGGAUGCAUUCAAGUCUUUCCUGAGCUCCCCGUUUCACUGUUCAUUGCUUUUCCAAUUCUUUCUCCAAACCACAUUUAUUUCCAGGCACUCUCCUCCAUUCAUUCUUAAAUCUCAGUAUUUAAACUCCUGAGUGUAUUUACAUUGAAAUGGAGUGCUGAAGCCUUUUGGUAUUUGAAAAAGCAUUUGAGGUUUUUAAUGAACUUUUCAAAGAUUCUUGAAUUGAUGCUUUGCCAAGAAUAGGACUACUCGAAACAACAGGAGGUUUGGGUUCAAUUUCAAACUACCCGGGCACCGAUCCAGGGCAAACUGGAGCCUUCAAAAAUCUGCAGGUGUUCCCUUGCCCCUUAGCCUCACACUCAAGGGCUUUGUUGAUGGGACUCUGCCUCCCUUGUCAAGCUCAUCUCUAACCCUACAGAAGACCCCUGGGCCUGCCUGCUCUUCCCCAGAUGACAUUUCCAUGAUCUGUGUCUUGCCUGUUACUUUCCCCUUUGCCUGGGACUUCUUUCCCAUUUUUGUCAACUGCCAUUCCAAAAUCCAUGGGCUAAGUUUAAAAUCAACCUCAUCGUGAAACUUUAUUUUGCCUGUGGAAGAUUUGGAAAAAGUACAUACAUUAGUUCCCCAAAUGCUUGAUUUGAUUUUUUACAUGAUCCCUCAGAAGCCAUAGAACUAAGGAAACUGUAAUACAAUUCUAUCUUCAUAAGAGAAAGCUUGCGACUUCUUUCACACAUGUCUUCUGUGUAAACAAAGUCAUGUUUAUGAAGCUCUUGAGGUGUAAUCGGUGUAUCUGUAACUCUGGAAGUUAGGAAACUUAUCUACUCUCUCUACCCCAGAAGUCGUAUCUGAGUCACAGGUGUAGUAAUAAGCAUUCCUGAAGAUACUGUGAGGGGGAUUAAUUGAGGAAAUCUGUGUAGAAUCUUAGAAUACCAUUUAGCAAAAUUUCAUUAUAUUUAUUAACAAAUAUUCUCUUCUCUUCUCCAUGCUUAUUUGAAUUAGCUCUGUAUAGAAGUUCAGGCACCUGUGCAGUUUCUUUGCCUUCUCCAAACAUUAUCUAUUACUUAAUAACAGGGACCAUAUUCUCACAAGGCCAAAGACCGUGGUACAUAUAAACUUUUAAUACAUUAUAUACAUAAUGCAAUCAAAUGAAACCUAAGAAAAACAUGUUUUGGUCUAUUUUUUAUGGCUCCAUGCUUGCUAUUGUCUCAAAACUUCAACAAAUAAAACCACUAAAGAAUGUGAACAACAAAGUUUGACACUGAAAUGAAAAUUUAUACAGGAGAAUACUACUCGGCCAUAAAAAAGAAGGAAAUCUCAUCUUUUGGGACAGCAUUGAUGGACCUGGAGAGUAUUAUGCUAAGCCAGCCAGAGAAAGA
This is a long non-coding RNA of Phyllostomus hastatus (greater spear-nosed bat), 3227 nucleotides long. RefSeq lists it as uncharacterized. The transcript is spliced from 6 exons. The record is from RefSeq and is a predicted model, not a curated record. Lineage: Eukaryota; Metazoa; Chordata; Mammalia; Chiroptera; Phyllostomidae.